UUUAAUGUAGCAUAAAAUAAUGCAAAGAGUUUAAGCCUCUUAGAUUUUCAUUUAAA
This 56-nucleotide transfer RNA is filed under the name Sancassania berlesei. Its description in RNAcentral is "tRNA-Leu". Lineage: Eukaryota; Metazoa; Arthropoda; Arachnida; Sarcoptiformes; Acaridae. The record is from RNAcentral.